GCUAACUUCGUGCCAGCAGCCGCGGUAAUACGAAGGGACCUAGCGUAAUUCGGAAUUACUGGGCGUAAAGCGCGCGUAGGCGGUUAAGUAAGUUAAUUGUGAAAGCCCAAAGCUCAACUUUGGAAUUGCAAUUAAAACUACUUAGCUAGAGUUUAUCAGAGGAAAGCGGAAUACAUAGUGUAGAGGUGAAAUUCGUAGAUAUUAUGUAGAACACCAGUUGCGAAGGCGGCUUUCUGGGAUAACACUGACGCUGAGGUGCGAAAGUAUGGGUAGCGAAGAGGAUUAGAUACCCUCGUAGUCCAUACUGUAAACGAUGAUUGUUAGAUGUUGGAAAUUUAUUUUCAGUAUCACAGCUAACGCGUUAAACAAUCCGCCUGGGGAGUACGACCGCAAGGUUAAAACUCAAAUGAAUUGACGGGGACCCGCACAAGUGGUGGAGCAUGUGGUUUAAUUCGAAGCUACGCGCAGAACCUUACCAACACUUGACAUGUCUGUCGCGGAUUCCAGAGAUGGAUUCCUUCGGUUCGGCCGGACAGAACACAGGUGCUGCAUGGCUGUCGUCAGCUCGUGUCGUGAGAUGUUGGGUUAAGUCCCGCAACGAGCGCAACCCCUACUUCUAGUUGCCAUCAGGUUAAGCUGGGCACUCUAGUAGGACUGCCUGUGAUAAGCAGGAGGAAGGUUGGGAUGACGUCAAGUCCUCAUGGCCCUUACGUGUUGGGCUACACACGUGCUACAAUGGUAGUGACAAUGAGAUGCUAAACGGCAACGUUAAGCUAAACUCAAAAACCUGCCUCAGUUCGGAUUGCACUCUGCAACUCGAGUGCAUGAAGCUGGAAUCGCUAGUAAUCGCUCAUCAGCGCGGAGCGGUGAAUACGUUCCCGGGUCUUGUACACACCGCCCGUCACACCAUGGAAGUUGGUUUUACCUUAAGGCAUGUCACUAACCUUCGGGAAGUGCGUGACCACGGUAUGAUCGGCGACUGGGGUGAAGUCGUAACAAGGUAGCCGUAGGGGAACCUGCGG
RNAcentral lists this ribosomal RNA (1022 nucleotides) under marine metagenome. Its description in RNAcentral is "bacterial SSU rRNA". It matches the Rfam family "Bacterial small subunit ribosomal RNA", at positions 496 to 1517 of the family's 1533-position model. The record is from RNAcentral.